UGAAAUCCCAUUCUUCUCUAAAACGCUCUCAAGCCUAACCCUAAUCUGACCUCACUGACACUCAUCUAUGGCUAUCUACGAUGAUUUCUCACCUCCCCCAGGCCUCUAAUGGCCUCCCUCACAUUAGUAUUUCCAUCUCUAGGGUCCUCAAGGGACCAUGGUAAGAUGGCUUGGAUCUAUGGUCCCUUUCUUGCUUGUUUCAGGCUACUCCAAUGUGAUUCUGAGUAAGAUCGUCCUAUAUUGACUAUGAUCCAUGGGUUUCUAAGCACUUUUCUUCAUCUCUGUAUUGUUCUCCUCAA
Molecule: long non-coding RNA, 299 nt
Filed under: Nicotiana benthamiana
Lineage: Eukaryota; Viridiplantae; Streptophyta; Magnoliopsida; Solanales; Solanaceae
Description: long non-coding RNA (NBEN_LNC042008)
Source: RNAcentral